Molecule: long non-coding RNA, 367 nt
Organism: Portunus trituberculatus (swimming crab)
Lineage: Eukaryota; Metazoa; Arthropoda; Malacostraca; Decapoda; Portunidae
Exons: 2
Source: RefSeq, a predicted model, not a curated record
AGCUUCCCUCACCGGUUUCUUUCUUUGACCCCUUUCGCGACUCUCUUCUGUGGCGUGAGUAGCAAUUGUGGGGAGUUUGAAGAUCUGCUUACUGUCGAAUUGAAUCAAGCGGAUGCAGGAAGUGUGAAAGCUUCAAUUGAUUGCCAGAUUUUGUGACGAACAGCACCAACAACUAACGCUUGCAGCACUGACGUGAGAGUUGCACAUGCUGGCCUGCAAACUGCACCACACUAGGAAUUGUUUUGGAAGACUGGAUUGCGCGACGCAUAGCAGAUCCCGUGCACGACCUCCAUCCAAAAAUGAUUUAAAAAGUUAUGCUCAAUAGAGUACUGCACUAUUAUUAGUCUGAAUAAAUUUAGUUGCUUCA